RNAcentral lists this unclassified non-coding RNA (284 nucleotides) under plant metagenome. Its description in RNAcentral is "partial contains small subunit ribosomal RNA, internal transcribed spacer 1, and 5.8S ribosomal RNA". The stretch from base 1 to 53 matches the Rfam family "Eukaryotic small subunit ribosomal RNA", at positions 1779 to 1831 of the family's 1831-position model. The record is from RNAcentral.
GGAAUAAAAGUCGUAACAAGGUUUCCGUAGGUGAACCUGCGGAAGGAUCAUUAUUGUAUAACAGAGGUGCGAGGGCUGUCGCUGACCCGAAAGGUCGUGCACGCCCGAGUGCCCUCACACACAUCCAUCUCACCCCUAUGUGCACCACCGCGUGGGUCCCCCUUUGGCUUGUUCGGAGGGGGGCUUACGUUUUCACACAAACUUUGUAUGCAGUGUAGAAUGUAUUUUUUGUUUUUGCGAUCACGCAAUCAAUACAACUUUCAACAACGGAUCUCUUGGCUCUC